Molecule: long non-coding RNA, 277 nt
Organism: Pogoniulus pusillus (Red-fronted tinkerbird)
Lineage: Eukaryota; Metazoa; Chordata; Aves; Piciformes; Lybiidae
Exons: 3
Source: RefSeq, a predicted model, not a curated record
AUCCCCCCAUUUGUCACCAAAAUGCUGAGGCUGAACGGUUGAGGAUGUCUUUUGCUUUCGAAGUGCCUUGCGUUGGGUGCUCUUUUGCCCCACGCCCCGCUGCUUUUCCUAGUCAUGCCUGAGGAGCCAAUUAUCAGGUUAUCUGGAGCAGAAGAUUCUGGCCAGCCCCUUCCCGGGCGUUUCGUGACUGUUGGCAAGAAGCAUGCUGCUCACCUAGGCCGGAUGGAUGGAUUCCGUGCGGCGGUGGAUGAAGGGCCUGAGGCUGGGCCACGUGUCG